This 231-nucleotide long non-coding RNA is filed under the name Homo sapiens (human). RNAcentral describes it as "non-protein coding lnc-SEL1L-10:1". The record is from RNAcentral. Lineage: Eukaryota; Metazoa; Chordata; Mammalia; Primates; Hominidae.
GGAUACUCCAGGGGCUCAUUUGCCAAGGGUGUCUAUUUCAUUUCAUUUCACUUCAUUUCUUUUCUUUCUUCCAAUAUAUCUUCUGCCAAACUCUGAGACAGGCUUUGGUGAUACAUCAAUGAUCAGAGAAAAAAUCCUGCUCUCAAGUUGCUCACUGUCUAGAUGGGGAGGCAGACAGAUAAACAGAGUGCUACAAAAUGAUGUGGGUAAAAUAACUUCGCUUCAGCCCAG